This 440-nucleotide ribosomal RNA is filed under the name uncultured bacterium. RNAcentral describes it as "partial 16S ribosomal RNA". It matches the Rfam family "Bacterial small subunit ribosomal RNA", at positions 338 to 795 of the family's 1533-position model. The record is from RNAcentral.
CCUACGGGAGACAGCAGUGGGGAAUAUUGCACAAUGGGGGAAACCCUGAUGCAGCGACGCCGCGUGAGUGAAGAAGUAUUUCGGUAUGUAAAGCUCUAUCAGCAGGGAAGAAAAUGACGGUACCUGAUUAAGAAGCCCCGGCUAACUACGUGCCAGCAGCCGCGGUAAUACGUAGGGGGCAAGCGUUAUCCGGAUUUACUGGGUGUAAGGGGAGCGUAGACGGCAGCACAAGUCUGGAGUGAAAUGCCGGGGCUUAACCCCGGAACUGCUUUGGAAACUGUGCAGCUAGAGUGCAGGAGAGGUAAGUGGAAUUCCUAGUGUAGCGGUGAAAUGCGUAGAUAUUAGGAGGAACACCAGUUGCGAAGGCGGCUUACUGGACUGUAACUGACGUUGAGGCUCGAAAGCGUGGGGAGCAAACAGGAUUAGAUACCCGAGUAGUC